Molecule: ribosomal RNA, 259 nt
Filed under: uncultured prokaryote
Description: partial 16S ribosomal RNA
Rfam family: Bacterial small subunit ribosomal RNA
Source: RNAcentral
UACGGAGGAUGCAAGCGUUAUCCGGAUUUAUUGGGCGUAAAGAGCGCGCAGGUGGUUGAUUAAGUCUGAUGUGAAAGCCCACGGCUUAACCGUGGAGGGUCAUUGGAAACUGGUCGACUUGAGUGCAGAAGAGGGAAGUGGAAUUCCAUGUGUAGCGGUGAAAUGCGUAGAGAUAUGGAGGAACACCAGUGGCGAAGGCGGCUUCCUGGUCUGUAACUGACACUGAGGCGCGAAAGCGUGGGGAGCAAACAGGAUUAGA